CGAAUACACGAGCACAGUACUUCCGGAUGAAAGUACUUGAGGACUGCCCAUGUGAACCUAGCUAGCAGUGAUAGUCGAAGCCGUUUUGAGUUACCACCGAGAAAAUGGCAGAGAAUGACGUUGACAACGAGCUCUUGGACUAUGAAGAGGAUGAGGAGCCUCAGGUUGCCCCGGAGACCACCACACCUGCAGGCAAGAAGGAGGUAAAGGGCUCUUAUGUCUCCAUCCACAGCUCUGGUUUCCGAGACUUCCUGCUCAAACCAGAGCUGCUCCGCGCCAUUGUCGACUGUGGCUUUGAACAUCCCUCUGAAGUCCAACACGAGUGCAUCCCACAGGCCAUCCUGGGCAUGGACAUCCUGUGCCAGGCCAAGUCUGGUAUGGGCAAGACUGCUGUGUUUGUACUGGCCACCCUGCAGCAGAUUGAACCUGUGGACGGGCAGGUGUCUGUGCUGGUGAUGUGCCACACACGAGAGCUGGCCUUCCAGAUCAGCAAAGAGUAUGAACGCUUCUCCAAGUACAUGCCCACCGUCAAGGCAGCUGUGUUCUUCGGGGGCCUGUCCAUCAAGAAGGACGAGGACGUGCUGAAGAAGAACUGCCCCCACAUCGUGGUGGGUACGCCCGGCCGCAUCCUGGCCCUCAUCCGCAACAAGACCCUGAACCUGAAGAACGUGAAGCACUUUGUCCUGGAUGAGUGUGACAAGAUGCUGGAGCAGCUGGACAUGAGGCGUGAUGUUCAGGACAUCUUCAGGCUCACACCCCACGAGAAGCAGUGCAUGAUGUUCAGUGCCACCCUAAGCAAAGAGAUUCGCCCUGUCUGCCGCAAGUUCAUGCAGGAUCCCAUGGAGGUGUUUGUUGACGAUGAGACCAAGCUGACGCUGCACGGUCUGCAGCAGUACUACUGUAAGCUGAAGGAUAGCGAGAAGAACCGAAAGCUCUUCGACCUGCUCGAUGUGCUUGAGUUCAACCAGGUGGUGAUCUUUGUGAAGUCUGUGCAGCGCUGUGUGGCUCUGUCUCAGCUGCUGGUGGAGCAGAACUUCCCUGCAAUUGCCAUCCAUAGGGGCAUGGCCCAGGAGGAAAGGUGGGUUCUGAUGGAGAGGGAAAAACUGGGAUUGGGUUUUGGCUCUCAUUGGGAAAUUCUCAUUUGGACAAGACUGUCCUCGCCGACUCCGCCCUCUCUUAUCCGUAAACCGAUAAGUGGUUGAGGAGUGUCAAUUCGUUAGUAGGUAAACGGUGUCCUCGCCUCCUCCUUCCGAGGAAGCACAACUGUCCUUCCCUGAAGAGUUUUGACAUCUACUCCUCUCCUUUUGAAUCAGCUGCUUACUCUGAUGAGAAGCAUGCACAUAUUUAAAACGAUAAGUAGCACAAAAUGUCUAGCUAAAUGUAUUUUUACUACUUUGCACAUUUUAAUUUGUUUCCACCCCUGUAAAUGUCAUUUUCAUGAGCACAUUUUCUCCUCUCAGUUACUUGACUUUUUUUUUUCAACGGAGGUGGAGAGGAGUUGAGCAAUCAAAUUGAGGAUCUCAUUUACAUGCACAUUUUGUAUAAUGGUCAUGUAGCAGAAGCUGUUAUCCAGAGGGCCUGAACAAUAACCUUCUCUCAGAUUACAUGUUUGUGGGUCACAGUUUCAGUGUACCCACAGGAGUGAAGCAGGAAGUAUAAUGCUUGUUCUACUUAUUUUAAAUCUGUGGAUUCCUAGGCUUUCCCGGUACCAGCAGUUCAAGGACUUCCAGAGGCGGAUCCUGGUGGCCACCAACCUGUUUGGCCGAGGGAUGGACAUUGAGCGCGUCAACAUAGUCUUCAACUACGACAUGCCUGAGGACUCCGACACCUACCUGCACAGAGUGGCCCGUGCUGGCAGGUUCGGGACGAAAGGUCUGGCUGUGACCUUUGUGUCUGACGAGACCGACGCCAAGACCCUGAACGAUGUGCAGGACCGCUUCGAGGUCAACGUGGCAGAGCUCCCAGAAGAGAUUGACAUCUCCACCUACA
This is an RNA transcript of Oncorhynchus kisutch (coho salmon), 1989 nucleotides long. It is a transcript of the gene named ATP-dependent RNA helicase DDX39A, with no coding region annotated. NCBI's taxonomy places the organism in Eukaryota, Metazoa, Chordata, Actinopteri, Salmoniformes, Salmonidae. The record is from RefSeq and is a predicted model, not a curated record. The transcript is spliced from 8 exons.